Molecule: non-coding RNA, 65 nt
Organism: Paragonimus westermani
Lineage: Eukaryota; Metazoa; Platyhelminthes; Trematoda; Plagiorchiida; Troglotrematidae
Source: the annotation of a GenBank genome assembly
UAGAUGAUGGCUGUUUCCGCCCUCUUGUGAGUAGGGAUUGUCCGAGGGGGUUUUGAAGUCCUCCU